GAUGAACGCUGGCGGCGUGCCUAAUACAUGCAAGUCGAGCGAACAGACGAGGAGCUUGCUCCUCUGACGUUAGCGGCGGACGGGUGAGUAACACGUGGAUAACCUACCUAUAAGACUGGGAUAACUUCGGGAAACCGGAGCUAAUACCGGAUAAUAUAUUGAACCGCAUGGUUCAAUAGUGAAAGACGGUUUUGCUGUCACUUAUAGAUGGAUCCGCGCCGCAUUAGCUAGUUGGUAAGGUAACGGCUUACCAAGGCAACGAUGCGUAGCCGACCUGAGAGGGUGAUCGGCCACUAUGGAACUGAGACACGGUCCAGACUCCUACGGGAGGCAGCAGUAGGGAAUCUUCCGCAAUGGGCGAAAGCCUGACGGAGCAACGCCGCGUGAGUGAUGAAGGUCUUCGGAUCGUAAAACUCUGUUAUUAGGGAAGAACAAAUGUGUAAGUAACUAUGCACGUCUUGACGGUACCUAAUCAGAAAGCCACGGCUAACUACGUG
Molecule: ribosomal RNA, 497 nt
Filed under: uncultured bacterium
Lineage: Bacteria
Description: partial 16S ribosomal RNA
Rfam family: Bacterial small subunit ribosomal RNA
Source: RNAcentral